AAAAAUUAAAAAAAGGUAAAGGAAAGGACUCCAUAGGAGGAGCCAUAGAAGUAGUUCCAUAAGGUCGUCUUCUGACACCCCCACCAAAACAUUAGAAAACAAAACCAUUAAAAGAGAAGCCGAGGGCCUUUCUCUCACUCCCUCUUUGGUUCUGGUUCUGUGUAGUAAAAAGCGAAGGGUAUAACUCAAGAAUUUAAUAAGCUAGAACAGACUAGUUCUGGGUUUAGCUUUUCCCUGGUGCUCUCUUUUUUGCAUUUAAGAAAGAAAAGGGGAGUUCGAACAAGGCCUGAGAAGAGAGAACUUUUUCCAUGUGCAGUGGGUCAGAGAGGAAACCGACUUAUACUGGUUUCAUCAUGGAGAAUAAAUUUCAAAAGCAAGAUGGGUAUUGCUGUAAUCUCUCUGUUUUGCUCGAAUUGUCUGCCUCGAAUGAUCUGAUUGGGUUUAAGAGAGAAAUUGAAGGAGGCCGUGACGUUGAUGAGCCAGGCUUAUGGUAUGGGAGAAGAAUUGGCUCAAAAAACAUGGGGUUUGAGGAGAGGACACCCCUCAUGAUUGCUGCCUUACUUGGAAGCAAAGAUGUCUUGAAUUAUAUCUUGGAAAUGGGCCGUGUUGAUGUUAAUAGGUGUUGUGGGUCUGAUGGGGCCACAGCCCUUCACUGUGCUGUUGCAGGUGGCUCUGCAUCUUCUCUUGAGGUUGUCAAGCUCUUGCUUGCUGCCUCUGCUGAUCAUAAUGCUGUUGAUGCCAAUGGAAAUCAUGCUAUUGAUUUGCUUGUUCCAGUUGUUAAUUCUGGUUUUAAUUUG
RNAcentral lists this unclassified non-coding RNA (797 nucleotides) under Hevea brasiliensis (rubber tree). The record is from RNAcentral. Lineage: Eukaryota; Viridiplantae; Streptophyta; Magnoliopsida; Malpighiales; Euphorbiaceae.